CAUGGAGGGUGAGAAUCCCGUUCAUGGUUAAUCUUAAGGAAGCUCUACGAUACGUUUUCCAAGAGUCGAGUUGUUUGGGAUCGCAGCUCAAAAUGGGAGGUAAAUUUCUCCUAAGGCUAAAUAUUGGCGAGAGACCGAUAGCGAACAAGUACCGUGAGGGAAAGAUGAAAAGAACUUUGAAAAGAGAGUUAAACAGUACGUGAAAUUGUUGAAAGGGAAACAAUUGAAGUCAGUCAUACCAACGGGAAAUCAACCUUUUGAGCUCGGUCUCGUGGGUUUUGAAGAGUUUCAAAGCCUUCGGAUUCGCGGGAUUGGGAUCUCUUGGCGUACUUUUUCGUACGGUUAGUCAACAUCGGUUUUGAAUGUCAUAAAAUGACUGGAGGAAUGUAGCUUCGAUCUCGUAUUGAAGUGUUAUAGCCUUUGGUAGAUGUGAUGUUUGAGACCGAGGAUUGCAACGGAUACCCUUCAGGGCUAUUCGUCUGAUCUCUGAUACGUUGCCUUGAUGUUGAAAGCUUGCUUAUGAUGUUAGGGUAUUACGGUCAAAAGGUUAGAACGAAUUACAUUCGUUAAGGAUGUUGACGUAAUGG
Molecule: ribosomal RNA, 587 nt
Filed under: uncultured Glomus
Lineage: Eukaryota; Fungi; Glomeromycota; Glomeromycetes; Glomerales; Glomeraceae
Description: eukaryotic LSU rRNA
Rfam family: Eukaryotic large subunit ribosomal RNA
Source: RNAcentral